RNAcentral lists this ribosomal RNA (1402 nucleotides) under metagenome. Its description in RNAcentral is "bacterial LSU rRNA". It matches the Rfam family "Bacterial large subunit ribosomal RNA", at positions 1534 to 2912 of the family's 2925-position model. The record is from RNAcentral.
AGGUAAAUCCGGGGUUUCAAGGCCGAGAGCUGAUGACGAGUCGUCUUUUAGAUGACGAAGUGGUUGAUGCCAUGCUUCCAAGAAAAGCUUCUAAGCUACAGGUAACCAGGAACCGUACCCCAAACCGACACAGGUGGUCGGGUAGAGAAUACCAAGGCGCUUGAGAGAACUCGGGUGAAGGAACUAGGCAAAAUGGCACCGUAACUUCGGGAGAAGGUGCGCCGGCUAGGGUGAAGGAUUUACUCCGUAAGCUCUGGCUGGUCGAAGAUACCAGGCCGCUGCGACUGUUUAUUAAAAACACAGCACUCUGCAAACACGAAAGUGGACGUAUAGGGUGUGACGCCUGCCCGGUGCCGGAAGGUUAAUUGAUGGGGUUAGCGCAAGCGAAGCUCUUGAUCGAAGCCCCGGUAAACGGCGGCCGUAACAAUAACGGUCCUAAGGUAGCGAAAUUCCUUGUCGGGUAAGUUCCGACCUGCACGAAUGGCGUAACGAUGGCGGCGCUGUCUCCACCCGAGACUCAGUGAAAUUGAAAUCGCUGUGAAGAUGCAGUGUAUCCGCGGCUAGACGGAAAGACCCCGUGAACCUUUACUGUAGCUUUGCACUGGACUUUGAGCCUGCUUGUGUAGGAUAGGUGGGAGGCUUUGAAGCGUGGACGCCAGUUCGCGUGGAGCCAUCCUUGAAAUACCACCCUGGCAUGCUUGAGGUUCUAACUCUGGUCCGUAAUCCGGAUCGAGGACAGUGUAUGGUGGGCAGUUUGACUGGGGCGGUCUCCUCCUAAAGAGUAACGGAGGAGUACGAAGGUGCGCUCAGACCGGUCGGAAAUCGGUCGCAGAGUAUAAAGGCAAAAGCGCGCUUGACUGCGAGACAGACACGUCGAGCAGGUACGAAAGUAGGUCUUAGUGAUCCGGUGGUUCUGUAUGGAAGGGCCAUCGCUCAACGGAUAAAAGGUACUCCGGGGAUAACAGGCUGAUACCGCCCAAGAGUUCAUAUCGACGGCGGUGUUUGGCACCUCGAUGUCGGCUCAUCACAUCCUGGGGCUGAAGCCGGUCCCAAGGGUAUGGCUGUUCGCCAUUUAAAGUGGUACGCGAGCUGGGUUUAGAACGUCGUGAGACAGUUCGGUCCCUAUCUGCCGUGGACGUUUGAGAUUUGAGAGGGGCUGCUCCUAGUACGAGAGGACCGGAGUGGACGAACCUCUGGUGUUCCGGUUGUCACGCCAGUGGCAUUGCCGGGUAGCUAUGUUCGGAAAAGAUAACCGCUGAAAGCAUCUAAGCGGGAAACUUGCCUCAAGAUGAGAUCUCACUGGGAACUUGAUUCCCCUGAAGGGCCGUCGAAGACUACGACGUUGAUAGGCUGGGUGUGUAAGCGUUGUGAGGCGUUGAGCUAACCAGUACUAAUUGCCCGU